GGCCCGCUAGCUCAAUUGGCAGAGCAACUGACUCUUAAUCAGUAGGUUCAUGGUUCAACUCGGAGACGGGUCACCA
This 76-nucleotide transfer RNA is filed under the name Chloroflexota bacterium. RNAcentral's name for it is "Chloroflexi bacterium tRNA-Lys". It matches the Rfam family "tRNA". Rfam says of the family: Transfer RNA (tRNA) molecules are approximately 80 nucleotides in length. The record is from RNAcentral. Lineage: Bacteria; Bacillati; Chloroflexota.